AUUGAACGCUGGCGGCAUGCCUUACACAUGCAAGUCGAACGGUAACAGGUCUUCGGAUGCUGACGAGUGGCGAACGGGUGAGUAAUACAUCGGAACGUGCCUAGUAGUGGGGGAUAACUACUCGAAAGAGUGGCUAAUACCGCAUGAGAUCUACGGAUGAAAGCAGGGGAUCGCAAGACCUUGUGCUACUAGAGCGGCCGAUGGCAGAUUAGGUAGUUGGUGGGAUAAAAGCUUACCAAGCCGACGAUCUGUAGCUGGUCUGAGAGGACGAUCAGCCAACCUGGGACUGAGAAACGGCCCAGACUCCUACGGGAGGCAGCAGUGGGGAAUUUUGGACAAUGGGCGAAAGCCUGAUCCAGCAAUGCCGCGUGCAGGAUGAAGGCCUUCGGGUUGUAAACUGCUUUUGUACGGAACGAAAAGCCCCGGGUUAAUACCCUGGGGUCAUGACGGUACCGUAAGAAUAAGCACCGGCUAACUACGUGCCAGCAGCCGCCGUAA
Molecule: ribosomal RNA, 498 nt
Filed under: uncultured bacterium
Lineage: Bacteria
Description: partial 16S ribosomal RNA
Rfam family: Bacterial small subunit ribosomal RNA
Source: RNAcentral